AGUGAACGCUGGCGGUAGGCCUAACACAUGCAAGUCGAACGGCAGCACAGUAAGAGCUUGCUCUUACGGGUGGCGAGUGGCGGACGGGUGAGGAAUACAUCGGAAUCUACUUUUUCGUGGGGGAUAACGUAGGGAAACUUACGCUAAUACCGCAUACGACCUACGGGUGAAAGCAGGGGAUAUUCGGACCUUGCGCGAUUGGAUGAGCCGAUGUCGGAUUUGCUAGUUGGCGGGGUAAAGGCCCACCAAGGCGACGAUCCGUAGCUGGUCUGAGAGGAUGAUAGGCCACACUGGAACUUAGCCACGGUCCAGACUACUACGGGAGGCAGCAGUGGGGAAUAUUGGACAAUGGGCGCAAGCAUUAUCCAGCCAUACCGCGUGGGUGAAGAAGGCCUUCGGGUUGUAAAGCCCUUUUGUUGGGAGAGAAAAGCAGCAGGUUAAUACCCCGCUGUUCUGACGGUACCCAAAGAAUAAGCACCGGCUAACUUCGUG
This 492-nucleotide ribosomal RNA is filed under the name uncultured bacterium. RNAcentral describes it as "partial 16S ribosomal RNA". It matches the Rfam family "Bacterial small subunit ribosomal RNA", at positions 29 to 507 of the family's 1533-position model. The record is from RNAcentral.